RNAcentral lists this ribosomal RNA (459 nucleotides) under uncultured bacterium. RNAcentral describes it as "partial 16S ribosomal RNA". It matches the Rfam family "Bacterial small subunit ribosomal RNA", at positions 338 to 795 of the family's 1533-position model. The record is from RNAcentral.
CCUACGGGAGACAGCAGUGAGGAAUAUUGGUCAAUGUACGAGAGUCUGAACCAGCCAAGUAGCGUGAAGGAUGACUGCCCUAUGGGUUGUAACCUUCUUUUAUAUGGGAAUAAAAUGUUCCACGUGUGGGAUUUUGUAUGUACCAUAUGAAUACGGAUCGGCUAACUCCUUGCCAGCAGCCACGGUAAUACGGAGGUUCCGAGCGUACGCCGGAUUUAUUGGGUUUAAAGGGUGCGUAGGCGCAAUGCCAGGUCAGCGGUAAAAUCGCGGGGCUCAACCUCGCUCCGCCGUUGAAACUGGCGUUCUUGAGUGGGCGAGAGGUAUGCGGAAUGCGUGGUGUAGCGGUGAAAUGCAUAGAUAUCACGCAGAACUCCGAUUGCGAAGGCAGCAUACCGGCGCCCAACUGACGCUGAAGCACGAAAGCGUGGGUAUCGAACAGGAUUAGAUACCCCGGUAGUC